RNAcentral lists this ribosomal RNA (253 nucleotides) under uncultured bacterium. RNAcentral's name for it is "partial 16S ribosomal RNA". It matches the Rfam family "Bacterial small subunit ribosomal RNA", at positions 524 to 776 of the family's 1533-position model. The record is from RNAcentral.
UACGUAGGGGGCAAGCGUUGUCCGGAAUCAUUGGGCGUAAAGCGCGUGUAGGCGGCGCGGUCAGUCCGGUGUGAAACCUUGGGGCUCAACCCCAAGCCUGCACUGGAUACUGCCGUGCUCGAGUCCGGGAGAGGGAAGCGGAAUUCCUAGUGUAGCGGUGAAAUGCGCAGAUAUUAGGAAGAACACCGGUGGCGAAGGCGGCUUCCUGGAACGGUACUGACGCUGAGACGCGAAAGCGUGGGGAGCGAACAGG